CCUACGGGUGGCAGCAGUGAGGAAUAUUGGUCAAUGGCCGGAAGGCUGAACCAGCCAAGCCGCGUGAAGGACGAAGGUGCCAAGCAUUGUAAACUUCUUUUGUCAAGGGACAAAAUAAGGCUCGAGAGCCUGACCGAGGGUACUUGAAGAAAAAGCAUCGGCUAACUCCGUGCCAGCAGCCGCGGUAAUACGGAGGGGGCAAGCGUUAUCCGGAUUUACUGGGUGUAAAGGGAGCGCAGACGGCUGUGCAAGUCUGGAGUGAAAGGCGGGGGCCCAACCCCCGGACUGCUCUGGAAACUGUAAAGCUGGAGUGCAGGAGAGGUAAGCGGAAUUCCUAGUGUAGCGGUGAAAUGCGUAGAUAUUAGGAGGAACACCAGUGGCGAAGGCGGCUUACUGGACUGCAACUGACGUUGAGGCUCGAAAGCGUGGGGAGCAAACAGGAUUAGAUACCCGGGUAGUC
RNAcentral lists this ribosomal RNA (460 nucleotides) under uncultured bacterium. RNAcentral's name for it is "partial 16S ribosomal RNA". It matches the Rfam family "Bacterial small subunit ribosomal RNA", at positions 338 to 795 of the family's 1533-position model. The record is from RNAcentral.